CGGACGGGUGAGUAAUGCUUGGGAAUCUAGCUUAUGGAGGGGGGUAACUACGGGAAACUGUAGCUAAUACCGCGUAAUAUCGAAAGAUUAAAGUGUGGGACCUUCGGGCCACAUGCCAUAAGAUGAGCCCAAGUGGGAUUAGGUAGUUGGUGAGGUAAAGGCUCACCAAGCCGACGAUCUCUAGCUGGUCUGAGAGGAUGACCAGCCACACUGGGACUGGGACACGGCCCAG
RNAcentral lists this ribosomal RNA (232 nucleotides) under uncultured bacterium. RNAcentral describes it as "partial 16S ribosomal RNA". It matches the Rfam family "Bacterial small subunit ribosomal RNA", at positions 99 to 334 of the family's 1533-position model. The record is from RNAcentral.